This is a long non-coding RNA of Syngnathoides biaculeatus (alligator pipefish), 663 nucleotides long. RefSeq lists it as uncharacterized. The record is from RefSeq and is a predicted model, not a curated record. NCBI's taxonomy places the organism in Eukaryota, Metazoa, Chordata, Actinopteri, Syngnathiformes, Syngnathidae. The transcript is spliced from 3 exons.
GAGAGAAGGCGACAUUUUCAGGAGGCAAAGUCCACAGAUUCAAUUAAGUCAUCUAAGAGCUCCUUUGGCAAAUGGGAAGCUUCAUUCCCCCCCACUGUGUCAACUUGGGUAGGAUUUCUCCAAACGUGGCGCCGAAAAAGUCAAUCGAUGCUGCGAUCGCUGCAAAAUGGCAGGUGACAUCCUUCGAAGGGGAGGUGUGACAACGGAUCCCACACCACCGGUGACAUCCGCGGCAUCCCGACACGUCCAGAAACUAACUGCUACGCUCCAUGCAUGUUUUUGGAAUGUGGGAGGAAGCCAGAGAAGCGGGAGCAAUCAAUUUCUUUUCUCCUUUUGGCAGCAGGUCACUAAAUCAUGUGGAUCAUAUUUACAUGGUUGGGUUAAAACUGGGUACUGUUUAGAGGCCCCAGUGUGGUCCACUGAUGUGGAUCGGGUAUCAUGAAUUGAUACCCGAGCUCUGAUCAAUGAGGAUGCUCUGCAGCACGCAGUUCUUUGUUUACUUGAGUCUUAGCAUUAUUUUUCCAUUCAGUCAUUUCACUAAGUGCCUUAAUAGGGAUUUUUAAUGUGGUAGAAAAAAAUGGAAAUAUGCUCAAAAGAAAAUGAAAAGCAUCAGUGUGGAUUUUCAAGUGUUUUAGCCAAGCCAGGAGAUUUGAGCCUGGAGGC